Molecule: ribosomal RNA, 489 nt
Filed under: uncultured bacterium
Lineage: Bacteria
Description: partial 16S ribosomal RNA
Rfam family: Bacterial small subunit ribosomal RNA
Source: RNAcentral
GACGAACGCUGGCGGCGUGCUUAACACAUGCAAGUCGAACGGAAAGGCCCCCAUCUUGGUGGGGGUGCUCGAGUGGCGAACGGGUGAGUAACACGUGGGUGAUCUGCCCUGUACUUCGGGAUAAGCUUGGGAAACUGGGUCUAAUACCGGAUAGGACCAUGGUUUAGUGUCUCAUGGUGGAAAGAUUAUUGUUUUGGUGCAGGAUGAGCUCGCGGCCUAUCAGCUUGUUGGUGGGGUAAUGGCCUACCAAGGCGUCGACGUGUAGCCGGCCUGAGAGGGUGGACGGCCACAUUGGGACUGAGAUACGGCCCAGACUCCUACGGGAGGCAGCAGUGGGGAAUAUUGCACAAUGGGCGCAAGCCUGAUGCAGCGACGCCGCGUGGGGGAUGACGGCCUUCGGGUUGUAAACUCCUUUCGUUAGGGACGAAGCCGCACUUUUUUUGGGUGUGGUGACGGUACCUUUGUUAAGAAGCACCGGCUAACUACGUG